UACGUAGGGGGCAAGCGUUAUCCGGAUUUACUGGGUGUAAAGGGGGCGCAGACGGCGAUGCAAGCCAGGAGUGAAAGCCCGGGGCCCAACCCCGGGACUGCCCUUGGAACUGCAUGGCUGGAGUGCGGGAGGGGCAGGCGGAAUUCCUGGUGUAGCGGUGAAAUGCGUAGAUAUCAGGAGGAACACCGGCGGCGAAGGCGGCCUGCUGGACCGCGACUGACGUUGAGGCUCGAAAGCGUGGGGAGCGAACAGG
RNAcentral lists this ribosomal RNA (253 nucleotides) under uncultured bacterium. RNAcentral's name for it is "partial 16S ribosomal RNA". It matches the Rfam family "Bacterial small subunit ribosomal RNA", at positions 524 to 776 of the family's 1533-position model. The record is from RNAcentral.